Long non-coding RNA from Carassius gibelio (silver crucian carp), 567 nucleotides. RefSeq lists it as uncharacterized. The transcript has 3 exons. The record is from RefSeq and is a predicted model, not a curated record. NCBI's taxonomy places the organism in Eukaryota, Metazoa, Chordata, Actinopteri, Cypriniformes, Cyprinidae.
AAGCUUCCUGUGUAUAACCUCCCAUGAAUCACAGCAAGUGUCGGAAACAAAAGAAACAACCAUGGCCGUCUGCUGGGCAUAUAGAUGGGGAAUAUUGCCGGCCGCGAAUCAAGUAUGAGGCAUCCUCAACAGCAUGCUGGACAAAGUGAAGCUGACACAGAACCUCCUGGAUGAUCUUCUGCAGCUCUUUGUUCUCUCUCUCCAGCUGGCGGGAUUUCUCUUCAUCGUUGUUGUUUGUGGAUGAGCCGGUCUUCAUGGUCUCCUGCUGGUCUGACUGCCACUCACCACGAGUGAUAAGCCUCCGCAUCUGCAUCAAGCACACACACACAACACACUAGAUGUGUAAUAACACCGGUCUCCACUGAUGACACUGAUUACACCACAUCUCCAUAACAUCGUCACUCAGCGCGCUUUAAGAUUUCACGAACAGACCGCUGAGAGACAUGCAUAUGUCACACAUUUAACCCUACUCUAGUUAUCCAUCAUUAAUAUUCAUCACUGUAAUACAAUAUUUACAUUGCUUCUCUUUCUUGUUUUGAGAAAAUGAUCUACUGUUGUACCUUAGGG